Molecule: long non-coding RNA, 1886 nt
Organism: Gadus morhua (Atlantic cod)
Lineage: Eukaryota; Metazoa; Chordata; Actinopteri; Gadiformes; Gadidae
Source: Ensembl
GAUUGGAUUUUUUUUCUCUCCUUCCCUUUCUAUAUAUUUAUCAUAAAUGAUCAAUAAAGUGUUGUUUCUGGGCUCAGCCACCAUAGAAUUAGACCCGCACCACCACAGCCCAGAGAGGGGCGCUCCAGGCAAGGGCUGUGAUGGAUAGCAGCCUUUCCUCAGACUGUAUUCUGGUAGGUGUUCAUCUGUACGUGUCUCCCCCUGCGUCUCAGGGCCAGACCGGACCCUCAGGACCCCAGGGUGGGCCCGGACUGAGGGGCGUCCCCGGGGAAGGGAAGGUCGGAGUCCAGGGACCCUCAGGACUCAGGGGCGAGCCCGGUGCCGCGGGGCUGAGGGGCCAAGCAGGCACAGCCGGUGCCCAGGGGCCCGCAGGACACAACGUAGGAACCCUCCCCCAUAUGUCUUGUUAGUGUCAGCAUCACUAGUUAACACAGCCAUAUCUGUCUGGGGGGGCUCAGGCAAAGGGACCAGUGUGUAGUUCCUCUAAUGACCUCCGGGGGCUCAGGCCCAGGCACUAGUGUGUAGUUCCUCUAAUGACCUCCUGGGGCUCAAGCCCAGGCACUGGUGUGUAGUUCCUCUCAUGACCUCUAGGGGGCUCGCAGUAGAGGGCGCCACAGUGAUCUGUCUCCAUUCUCUGAGUCUACGGGAGGAAAUGUUGAUUCUUUCUCCGUAAUACAAAGGUGAUCCAUUCAGACUUCAUUCUGUCAGGAUCUCAGCUGGUUCAUCUUAAUAUCUAUUUUUCCAGGUCCUGGUGGACACGUAAAUUUCCUUAAAAACUAUAAUAGGUUGAAAUAUAAGUGAGUUUUAAGCAUAGACUGGUGGAAGGCAAGUCCCGCCCUCGUACACCGUCACAGUUACAAAUGCUUUCUAUUGCUCGUUGCACAAUAUGGCGACGCUAAACCCCAAUGCUACCUCCAUAUGACGAGCUUACUGAUGCAGACUUUAUCAACCUGGCCCUCUGCGGUCUCCUUCUGCAAUGCAGGGUGUACCUGGAAGACCUGGAGAGAAAGGGGAUGCCGGUGUACCUGUAAGUAUCCUGAGUGGCUGAUAGACACCUGGCUGCAGAAUAUAUAGAACAUGGAAUCCAGUAGUAUAGAAUACCAUCAUCCAAAUUGUUAUGCGCAAUAAAAGCACAACAUAUCCAUGAGUUUACCACUAGCGAUCACCAGCAUAAGCUAACCAUACCCUACACAUUCAGUACACACAUACAUUACAGUGUAAUUCUGAUUGCUGUGUUAUUAACCAAGUGUGUUUAUUGUCUCACAGGGGAAGGCUGCAGAUCUCUCUGAGCUGGAUCUUAAGGUAACGCAUCAGCACACACACACACACACACACACACACACACACACACACACACACACACACACACACACACACACACACACACACACACACACACACACACACACACACACACACACACACACACAUCAACACCUACACACACAUCAACCCUCAAACAUACACAUCAACACCUACACACACAUCAGCCCCCUCCAACACAUACAGACACACAAACACACACACAUCAACCCCCACACACGCACACAAACACACACAUGUCUACCCUGGUCCUCCAGAACGUGUGCUCAGACUGUCCCGCCGGCCCACCCGGAACCCCCGGCCUGCCCGGCGUUCUGGGAGAGAAGGGACACAACGGCCUCCCCGGGAAGAGCGGUCAAGAUGGCUACCCAGUGAGUAGCACGACCCUUUAAUGUCAUCACGGUUGGUCUCCCUCACUCGGCACUUUGUCGUGUCUCCGCGAUGUUUACUUAUUCCAAACAGUUUGUUGGUCUCGCGGGGUCGUGUCACUCGUUUCACACUUUAUAUCGCUGUUCUGCGCCAAAAUAUCUCAAUGAAUAAAGUUUGAUUUGUUACCCCUCCAU